This 425-nucleotide ribosomal RNA is filed under the name Allophryne ruthveni group sp. ABGD cluster 2. RNAcentral describes it as "partial large subunit ribosomal RNA". It matches the Rfam family "Bacterial large subunit ribosomal RNA", at positions 1834 to 2457 of the family's 2925-position model. The record is from RNAcentral. Lineage: Eukaryota; Metazoa; Chordata; Amphibia; Anura; Allophrynidae.
CUUGACAAACUAUAAGAGGUCCAGCCUGCCCAGUGACUCUGUUCAACGGCCGCGGUAUCCUAACCGUGCGAAGGUAGCGUAAUCACUUGUUCUUUAAAUGAGGACUAGUAUGAAUGGCACCACGAGGGUUAUACUGUCUCCUUUCUCUAAUCAGUAAAACUAAUCUUCCCGUGCAGAAGCGGGAAUAAACCUAUAAGACGAGAAGACCCUAUGGAGCUUCAAACUAAGUCACAUUUGCUUUACUCUCUACCCCUCCCCAGAGAAAUCAUAAACAUUUUAACAAACUGAUGACUAGUUUUCGGUUGGGGUGACCGCGGAGCAGAAAAAAACCUCCACAUUGAAAGGAAUUUAAUCCUAAGCCAAGAGCCACAACUCUAAGCAUCAAUAAAACGACAUUAAUUGACCCAAUAUAUUGAUCAACGAAC